RNAcentral lists this ribosomal RNA (985 nucleotides) under Phanerochaete singularis. RNAcentral describes it as "eukaryotic LSU rRNA". The stretch from base 615 to 985 matches the Rfam family "Eukaryotic large subunit ribosomal RNA", at positions 1 to 352 of the family's 3401-position model. The record is from RNAcentral. Lineage: Eukaryota; Fungi; Basidiomycota; Agaricomycetes; Polyporales; Phanerochaetaceae.
ACUGCGGAGAUCAUUAACGAAUAUUUGGAACAGGUUGUAGCUGGGCCCUUUCAGGGCAUGGUGCACGCCUGGUUCAUUCACUUGUUUUAACCUCUGUGCACUUAUUAAUAGGUUUGUGUGGAAAAGCAAGUCUUUUUAAGACUUGUUUUAGAAGCCUUCCUAUAGUUUUUUUUUAUCCCCAACCUUUUCCGGCCAAAAAUGGGGAUUGGUUGGCGGGAUUACCCCUUUUUUUCCAAAAACUUUCCACCACCGAACCCUUGGGUCCCCCCUCCAUGAAAAACGCCACCAAAUGGCAUAAAUAAUGGGAAUUGGCAAAUUCCGUGGAUCCUCCAAUCCUUUAACCCCCCCUGGCCUUCCCGGGAUUCCGGGGAACCUGGCCGGUUGAAUGGCCAGGGAUUUUCCCCACCCCUCCAAUUACUUGGUUUGGUAUUGAAAGGUUGGACUUUGGAAGGUGGGGUGGCUUGGUCCUCCAAUCCGCUUCCCCAAAAUGGCUUAACCGAAGUGGAACCAAACCCUUCCGUGGGAUUAUAAUUAAUUGCACCCGGGUUGGAAAGGUAACAUUGGCUUGGCCUUUUAAUUGGCCUUUAAAUUGGACCACUUUACCUUUUUACCUCCGAACUCCAAUCAAGUAGGACUACCUGGUGAACUUUAGCCUAUCCAUUAGCCGAAGAAAAGAAACUUACCAGGGAUCCCCUAAUAACUGGCAGUUGAGCGGGAAAAGCUUCAAUUUAAAAUCCAACCAGUUUUCACUGGUUGAAGUGGUAGUUUAGAAGAGUGGUUUCCGGUGCUGGACUGGGUCCAGUCUCCUGGAACGGAACGUCGUAAAAGGGUGAGAAUCCCGUCUCCUGACCACAAACUAUCAGAGUGUUUGUGAUGACGCUCUUCUCAGAGACUCAGAUGUUGUUGGAAAGCGCAGCUCAAUAGUGUGUGAACAUCUACACUCUAAGCUCAAAAUAUGGCAGAGGACACAGAUCGCACACGGAAC